UGUAGAUUGGCCUGAGCAAAUUUGGUGCCGGUGGAACGAAAGCCUUCGGAGGAGUUAGCGAAAUUCCAAUGUGUGCGGAUCGGCAAAAAAUGCGAAAUAGCCCUUUAACCGUACAUUUGACAGAUACGCCCGCACUGACUUUUUUGUAGAUCUUAUUGAGAUACACAUGUGUGUCAAAUUUUGUGUCAUUUUGACAAAGCGUACAGGUGUCAGGUGAGUUUUCACCAUAGGGGGCGCUAUGGAGCCAUUUUUCAUUUUUUUGUUUGGGCGACUUCAGAAUAUCAAAUUUUUCACCAGGCCCGGUCGUCCUGCCAAAUUUCCUGAGUUUUCGCCAGUGGGAAGUGGGCCAUUUUCCAGUUUAAAGCGGAGGAAAAAUAACGAAAGAAGAAUCCAUCAGGAACAAGAGGGCUCUCGCAGCUGCUUAGCAGCUACGCUCGGGCCCUAAAAAACCUAUACAGGAAUAAUAGGGCUCUACGCCCGGCUGCUCUGCAGCUGGCUCGGGCCCUAAAAAGUUAUAAGAGUUUUAAGAAUGUGGAUUUUUGGGUUAUCUUUGGCGCCCCCUAGAACCUAAACCGUGGGGUGCAGCGUCAUGAUUUGUACAACUUUUAAUGGCCAUGGGGUGUAGAUUGGCCUGAGCAAAUGUGGUGCUGGUGGAACGAAAGCCUUUGGAGGAGUUAGCGAAAUUCCAAUGUGUGCGGAUCGGCAAAAAAUGCGGAAUAACCCUUUAACCAUACAUUUGACAGAUACGCCCGCACUGACUUUUUUGUAGAUCUUAUUGCGAUACAUGUGUGUGUCAAUUUUUGUGUCAAUAUGACAAAGCAUACAGGCGUGACAGUCAAUAGUGUGAAUUUUCACCUUAGGGGGCGCUAUGGAGCCAUUUUGCAUUUUAUUGUUUCGGCGACUUCAGCAUAUCGAAUUUUUCACCAGGCCCGGUCGUCCUGCCAAAUUUCAUGAGUUUUCGCCAGUGGGAAGUGAGUUUUUUUCCAGUUCAAAGGGGAGGAAAAAGAAGACUAGGGCCCCGUUGGGGCACUGGCGGGCCCGAGCCGUGUCGCGCCGCUCCCAGCGCGACCACCUACCCCUCCCGAUCGCGUCACACUAAAGGUCCAAAGAUGGUGUGCGCACUUGUCUGUGGUCAUUUACCAUUAUAAUGAAUGGGAGGCGCAGUUUCUACCAAAACGCUCGCUGCAGACAAACUCCAUGUCCUUUUUGAAAAAAGUCUGGACCAUGAGUGAAGGCACAAACACAGCUAGUAUAUACCCAAAUGGCAAGGUGCUCCUCCUUUCGGUUUUGCCGAGAGAGCGAUGAAUUAGAGCCAUUGAGCGAUGGGCAGGAAAAACUUGACUUUUUCUCCUGCCAUUGGGGGGCGCUCUUUUGGGGAAAAAAAAUUCCUUCACAAAUGUGUUGAUGACUGAACAUUGCAUCAUCCUAGAAAACUUGGAGGCCAGUGAGGACAAAAAUAAAGUUAUAAGACUUUUAAAAAUGUGGAUAUUUGGGUCAUCUUUGGCGCCCCCUAGAACCUAAACCGUGGAGUGCAGCGUCAUGAUUUGAAUAACUUUUAAUGGCCAUGGGGUGUAGAUUGGCCUGAGCAAAUUUGGUGUCAGUGGAACGAAAGCCUUAGGAGGAGUUAGCCACAUUCCAAUGUGUGCGAAUCUGCAAAAAAUGCGAAAUAGCCCUUUAACUGUACAUUUUACAGAUACGCGCACAUUGACUUUUUCAUAGAUCUUAUUGAGAUACACUUGAUUGUCAAAUUUUGUGUCAAUAUGACAAAGCAUACAGGCGUGACACUCAACAAUGUGUAUAUUCGCCUUAGGGGACAAGAAAAAAUGGACUUUUUUCUCCUGCCAUGGGGGGGCACUCUUUUGGCGAGUAAAAAUUCCUUCACAAAUGUGUUAAUUGCUGGACAUUGCAUCAUCCUAGAGAACUUGGAGGCCAGUGAGGACAAAAAUAAAAAGUUAUAAGACUUUUAAGAAUGUGGAUUUUUGGGUUAUCUUUGGCGCCCCCUAGAACGUAAACCGUGGGGUGCAGCGUCAUGAUUUGUACAACUUUUAAUGGCCAUGGGGUGUAGAUUGGCCUGAGCAAAUGUGGUGCCGGUGGAACGAAAGCCUUCGGAGGAGUUAGCGAAAUUCCAAUGUGUGCGGAUCGGCAAAAAAUGCGAAAUAACCCUUUAACCGUACAUUUGACAGACACGCCCGUGCUGACUUUUUUGUAGAUCUUAUUGAGAUACAUGUGUGUGUCAAUUUUUGUGUCAAUAUGACAAAGCGUACAGGCGUGACAGUCAAUAGUGUGAAUUUUCACCUUAGGGGGCGCUAUGGAGCCAUUUUGCAUUUUAUUGUUUGGGCGACUUCAGAAUAUCGAAUUUUUCACCAGGCCCGGUCGUCCUGUCAAAUUUCAUGAGUUUUCGCCAGUGGGAAGUGGGCCAUUUUCCCCUUCAAAGGGGAGGAAAAAUAAGAAGAAAGAAAGAAAGAAAGAAGAAAGAAAAACUCAUCAGGAACAACAGGGCUCUCGCAGCUGCUUAGCAGCUACGCUCGGGCCCUAAAGACUAGGGCCCCGUUGGGGCACUGGCGGGCCCGAGCUGUGUCGCGCCCCCCCCCAACGCGCUGCCUCCCCGUCCCAUUCGCGUCCUCUGGCCAUCGUCCUCUCUGGUGACGCCCAUCACUGCAAAGACCCUUUUCCUUCAUCGGGGUUUGCUGUUCUUCCUGCCAGUGCGUGUUGCUUUCACUUACACUUGCCACAGCCAGCCUCGUGAGUGCCUAGCCUAUUGGAUAUCACUGUCACCUACACAGGACAGUCAUUACCUUUCUAUUAAUACUUUGUUUUUUAAUUAGGGCCCGAGCGUAGCUGCUAAGCAGCUGCGAGAGCCCUCUUGUUCCUGAUGGAUUCUUCUUUUGUUAUUAUUAGGGCCCGAGCCAGCUGCAGAGCAGCCGGGCGUAGAGCCCUAUUAUUCCUGUAUAGGUUUUUCUUUCUUCUUUCUUUCUUUCUUUCUUUCUUUCUUCUUAUUUUUCCUCCCCUUUGAAGGGGAAAAUGGCCCACUUCCCACUGGCGAAAACUCAUGAAAUUUGGCAGGACGACCGGGCCUGGUGAAAAAUUCGAUAUUCUGAAGUCGCCCAAACAAUAAAAUGCAAAAUGGCUCCAAAGCGCCCCCUAAGGUGAAAAUUCACACUAUUGACUGUCACGCCUUUACGCUUUGUCAUAUUGACACAAAAAUUGACACACACAUGUAUCUCAAUAAGAUCUACGAAAAAGUCAGUGCGGGCGUAUCUGUCAAAUGUACGGUUAAAGGGUUAUUUCGCAUUUUUUGCCGAUCCGCACACAUUGGAAUUUCGCUAACUCCUCCGAAGGCUUUCGUUCCACUGGCACCACAUUUGCUCAGGCCAAUCUACACCCCAUGGCCAAUAAAAGUUGUACAAAUCAUGACGCUGCACCCCACGGUUUACGUUCUAGGGGGCGCCAAAGAUAACCCAAAAAUCCACAGUCUUAAAAGUCUUAUAACUUUUUAUUUUUGUCCUCACUGGCCUCCAAGUUCUCUAGGAUGAUGCAAUGUCCAGCCAUCAACACAUUUGUGAAGGAAUUUUUACUCGCCAAAAGAGCGCCCCCCCAUGGCAGGAGAAAAAAGUCCAUUUUUUCUUGUCUCCUAAGGCGAAAAUACACACUGUUGACUGUCACGCCUUUACGCUUUGUCAAAAUGACACAAAAUUUGACACACACAUGUAUCUCAAUAAGAUCUACGAAAAAGUCAACGCGAGCGUAUCUGUUCAAUAUACGGUUAAAGGGCUAUUUCGCAUUUUUUGCCGAUUCGCACACAUUGGAAUGUGGCUAACUCCUCCUAAAGCUUUUGUCCCAUCGGCUUCAAAUUUGCUCAGGUCAAUCUACACCCCAUGGCCAUUCAAAGUUGUACAAAUCAUGACGCUGCACCCCACGGUUUACGUUCUAGGGGGCGCCAAAGAUAACCCAAAAAUCCACAGUCUUAAAAGUCUUAUAACUUUUUAUUUUUGUCCUCACUGGCCUCCAAGUUUUCUAGGAUGAUGCAAUGUCCAGCCAUCAACACAUUUGUGAAGGAAUUUUUUCUCCCCAAAAGAGCGCCCCCCCCAUGGCAGGAGAAAAAGUCAAGUUUUUCCUGCCCAUCGCUCAAUGGCUCAAACGCAUCGCUCUCUCGGCAAAACCGAAAGGAGGAGCAACUUGCCAUUUGGAUAUAUACUAGCUGUGUUUGUGCCCUCACUCAUGGUCCAGACUUUUUUCAAAAAGGACAUGGAGUUUGUCUGCAGCGAGCGUUUUGGUAGAAACUGCGCCUCCCAUUCAUUAUAAUGGUAAAUGACCACAGACAAGUGCGCACACCAUCUUUGGACCUUGAGUGUGACGCGAUCGGGAGGGGUAGGCGGUCGCGCUGGGGGUGGCGCGACGCGGCUCGGGCCCGACAGUGCCCCACCGGGGCCCUAGUUAUUAUUUUUCCUCCGCUUUAAACUGGAAAAUGGCCCACUUCCCACUGGCGAAAACUCAUGAAAUUUGGCAGGACGACCGGGCCUGGUGAAAAAUUCGAUAUUCUGAAGUCGCCCAAACAAGAAAAUGCAAAAUGGCUCCAUAGCGCCCCCUAAGGUGAAAAUUCACACUAUUGACUGUCACGCCUGUACGCUUUGUCAUAUUGACACAAAAAUUGACACACACAUGUAUCUCAAUAAGAUCUACAAAAAAGUCAGUGCGGGCGUAUCUGUCAAAUGUACGGUUAAAGGGUUAUUUUGCAUUUUUUGCAGAUCCGCACACAUUGGAAUUUCGCUAACUCCUCCGAAGGCUUUCGUUCCACCGGCACCACAUUUGCUCAGGCCAAUCUACACUCCAUGGCCAUUCAAAGUUGUACAAAUCAUAAUGCUGCACCCCAUGGUUUAGGUUCUAGGGGGCGCCAAAAAUAACCCAAAAAUCCACAUUCUUAAAAGUUUUAUAAAUUUUUUUUUUGUCCUCACUGGCCUCCAAGUUUUCUAGGAUGAUGCAAUGUCCAGCCAUCAACACAUUUGUGAAGGAAUUUUUACUCCCCAAAAGAGCGCCCCCCCAUGGCAGGAAUAAAAAGUCCAUUUUUUCUUGUCCCCUAAGGUGAAAAUACACAUUGUUGAGUGUCACGCCUGUACGCUUUGUCGUAUUGACAAAAAAUUUGACACACACGUGUAUCUCAAUAAGAUCUACGAAAAAGUCAAUUGGCGCGUAUCUGUAAAAUGUACGGCUAAAGGGCUAUUUUGCAUUUUUUGCCGAUUCGCACACAUUGGAAUGUGGCUAACUCCUCCUAAGGCUUUCGUCCCACUGACACCAAAUUUGCUCAGGCCAAUCUACACCCCAUGGCCAUUCAAAGUUGUAAAAAUCAUGCCGCUGCACCCCAUGGUUUACGUUCUAGGGGGCGCCAAAGAUGACCCAAAUAUCCACAUUCUUAAAAGUCGUUUUGGCCACUGCAGGAGUACAGAGUACUGCAGGAUACACACACACAGACACACACACACACACACACACACACACACACACACACACACACACACUCAGAGUCUGUUUUUUAGCACCUGCAAAAACAUGCUAUUUACAUAUUUGACAACAAUGCAGAGGCUUCCUUUUGCCCCUGAAAAAAAUCAAAUUUCUAACACAACUUGACUGCUCAUUUCUCCAAAAGACAACCAUGAAGCUCCAUCCAAACCUGAAGCAGGCAGUUGGUGCAUGUGUACAGUAACCUGAGGGGAGUGAGGUGACUGCUUCUGAGGAGAACAUGAGCAGUGAAGAUUCACCUUGGAGCGAGAACAGGGACGUGCACAUGAUUAUACGGGGGCAGGGGCUCAAGUUUUUUCCAGUCGUUUAUACAAUAUGGAAAUUAAUGUGAAAUUAAAAAACAAAGUAUUAAUAGAAAGGUAAUGACUGUCCUGUGUAGGUGACAGUGAUAUCCAAUAGGCUAGGCACUCACAAGGCUGGCUGUGGCAAGUGUAAGUGAAAGCAACACGCACUGGCAGGAAGAACAGCAAACGCCGAUGAAGGAAAAGGGUCUUUGCAGUGAUGGGCGUUACCAGAGAGGACGAUGGCCAGAGGACGCGAAUGGGACGGGGAGGCAGCGCGUUGGGGGGGGGGGGGGGGGGGGGGGGGGGGGGGGCGACACAGCUCGGGCCCGCCAGUGCCCCAACGGGGCCCUAGUUUCACAUUAAUUUCCAUAUUGUAUAAACGACUGGAAAAAACUUGAGCCCCUGCCCCUGUAUAAUCAUGUGCACGUCCCUGUUCUUGCUCCAAGGUGAAUCUUCACUGCUCAUGUUCUCCUCAGAAGCAUUCACCUCACUCCCCUCAGGUUACUGUACACAUGCACCAACUGCCUGCUUCAGGUUUGGAUGGAGCUUCAUGGUUGUCUUUUGGAGAAAUGAACAGUCAAGUUGUGUUUGAAAUUUGAUUUUUUUCAGGGGCAAAAGGAAGCCUCUGCAUUCUUGUCAAAUAUGUAAACAGCAUGUUUUUGCAGGUGCUAAAAAACAGACUCUGAGUGUGUGUGUGUGUGUGUGUGUGUGUGUGUGUGUAUCCUGCAGUACUCUGUACUCCUGCAGUGACCAAAAAGACUUUUAAGAAUGUGGAUUUUUGGGUCAUCUUUGGCGCCCCCUAGAACUGCAGUACUCUUUACUCCUGCAGUGGCCAAAAUGACUUUUAAGAAUGUGGAUUUUUGGGUCAUCUUUGGCGCCCCCUAGAACGUAAACCGUGGGGUGCAGCGGUAUGAUUUUUACAACUUUGAAUGGGCAUGGGGUGUAGAUUGCCCUGAGCAAAUUUGGUAUCGGUGGGACGAAAGCCUUAGGAGGAGAUAGCCACAUUCCAAUGUGUGCGAAUCGGCAAAAAAUGCGAAAUAGCCCUUUAACCGUACAUUUGACAGAUACGUGCCUAUUGACUUUUUUGUAGAUCUUAUUGAGAUACACGUGAUUGUCAAAUUGUGUGUCAAUAUAACAAAGUGUAUAGGCGUGACACUCAACAAUGUGUAUUUUUACCUUAGGAGACAAGAAAAAAUGGACUUUUUUCUCCUGCCAUGGGGGGGCGCUCUUUUGGGGAGUAAAAAUUCCUUCACAAAUGUGUUGAUGGCUGGACAUUGCAUCAUCCUAGAAACCUUGGAGGCCAGUGAGGACAAAAAUAAAAAGUUAUAAGACUUUUAAGAAUGUGGAUUUUUGGGUUAUCUUUGGCGCCGCCUAGAACAUAAAUCGUGGGGUGCAGCGUCAUGAUUUGUACAACUUUUAAUGGCCAUGGGGUGUAGAUUGGCCUGAGCAAAUGUGGUGCCGGUGGAACGAAAGCCUUCGGAGGAGUUAGCGAAAUUCCAAUGUGUGCGGAUCGGCAUAAAAAGCGAAAUAGCCCUUUAACCAUACAUUUGACAGAUACGCCCGCACUGACUUUUUCGUAGAUCUUAUUGAGAUACACAUAUGUGUCAAAUUUUGUGUCAUUUUGACAAAGCGUACAGGCAUCAGGUGAGUUUUCACCAUAGGGGGCGCUAUGGAGCCAUUUUUCAUUUUUUUGUUUGGACGACUUCAGAAUAUCAAAUUUUUCACCAGGCCCGGUCGUCCUGCCAAAUUUCCUGAGUUUUCGCCAGUGGGAAGUGGGCCAUUUUCCAGUUUAAAGCGGAGGAAAAAUAACGAAAGAAGAAUCCAUCAGGAACAAGAGGGCUCUCGCAGCUGCUUAGCAGCUACGCUUGGGCCCUAAUAAUAACAAAAGAAGAAUCCAUCAGGAACAAGAGGGCUCUCGCAGCUGCUUAGCAGCUACGCUCGGGCCCUAAAGAAAGAAGAAAGAAGAACCCAUACAGGAAUAAUAGGGCUCUACGCCCGGCUGCUCUGCAGCUGGCUCGGGCCCUAAUAAGACUUUUAAAAAUGUGGAUAUUUGGGUCAUCUUUGGCGCCCCCUAGAACCUAGACCGUGGGGUGCAGCGUCAUGAUUUGUACAACUUUGAAUGGCCAUGGGGUGUAGAUUGGCCUGAGCAAAUUUGGUGUCAGUAGAACGAAAGCCUUAGGAGGAGUUAGCCACAUUCCAAUGUGUGCGAAUCGGCAAAAAAUGCAAGAUAGCCCUUUAACCGUACAUUUUACAGAUAUGUGCCCAUUGACUUUUUCGUAGAUCUUAUUGAGAUACACGUGUGUGUCAAAUUUUGUGUCAAUAUGACAAAGCGUAUAGGCGUGACACUGAACAAUGUGUAUUUUCACCUUAGGGGACAAGAAAAAAUGGCCUUUUUUGUCCUGCCAUGGGGGGGGCGCUGUUUUGGGGAGUAAAAAUUCCUUCACAAAUGUGUUGAUGGCUGGACAUUGCAUCAUCCUAGAAAACUUGGAGGCCAAUGAGGACAAAAAUAAAAAGUUAUAAGAUUUUUAAGAAUGUGGAUUUGUGGGUUAUCUUUGGCGCCCCCUAGAACGUAAACCAUGGGGUGCAGCGUCAUGAUUUGUACAACUUUCAAUGGCCAUGGGGUGUAGAUUGGCCUGAGCAAAUGUAGUGCUGGUGGAACAAAAGCCUUCGGAGGAGUUAGCGAAAUUCCAAUGUGUGCGGAACGGCAAAAAAUGCGAAAUAACCCUUUAACCGUACAUUUGACAGAUACGCCCGCACUGACUUUUUUGUAGAUCUUAUUGAGAUACAUGUGUGUGUCAAUUUUUGUGUCAAUAUGACAAAGCGUACAGGCGUGACAGUCAAUAGUGUGAAUUUUCACCUUUGGGGGCGCUAUUGAGCCAUUUUGCAUUUUAUUGUUUGGGAGACUUCAGAAUAUCGAAUUUUUCACCAGGCCCGGUCGUCCUGCCAAUUUUCAUGAGUUUUCGCCAGUGGGAAGUGGGCCAUUUUCCAGUUUAAAGCGGAGGAAAAAUAAUAACUAGGGCCCCGGUGGGGCACUGUCGGGCCCGAGCCGCGUCGCGCCGCCCCCAGCGCGACCGCCUCCCCCUCCCGAUCGCAUCACACUCAAGGUCCAAAGAUGGUGUGCGCACUUGUCUGUGGUCAUUUCCCAUUAUAAUGAAUGGGAGGCGCAGUUUCUACCAAAACGGUCGCUGCAGACAAACUACAUGUCCUAUUUGAAAAAAGUCUGGACCAUGAGUGAGGGCACAAACACAGCUAGGAUAUAUCCAAAUGGCAAGUUGCUCCUCCUUACGGUGUUGCCAGGAGAGCGAUGCGAUUGAGCCAUUGAGCGAUGGGCAGGGUUAACUGGACUUUUUCUCCUGCCUUGGGGGGGGGGAUGUGGAUUCUUUUAAGAAUGUGGAUAUUUGGGUCAUCUUUGGCGCCCCCUAGAACGUAAACCAUGGGGUGCAGCGGCAUGAUUUUUACAACUUUGAAUGGCCAUGGGAUGUAGAUCGGCUUGAGCAAAUUUGGUGUCGGUGGGAAGAAAGCCUUAGGAGGAGUUAGCCACAUUCCAAUGUGUGCGAAUCUGCAAAAAAUGCGAAAUAGCCCUUUAACCGUACAUUUUACAGAUACGUGCCCAUUGACUUUUUCGUAGAUCUUAUGGAGAUACACGUGUGUGUCAAAUUUUGUGUCAUUUUGACAAAGCGUAUAGGCGUGACAGUCAAAAAUGUGUUUUUUCACCUUAGGGGACAAGAAAAAAUGGACUUUUUUCUCCUGCCAUGGGGGGCGUUCUUUUCGGGAGUAAAAAUUCCUUUACAAAUGUGUUGAUGGCUGUACAUUGCAUCAUCCUAGAAAACUUGGAGGCCAGUGAGGACAAAAAUAAAAAGUUAUAAGACUAUUAAGAAUGUGGAUUUUUGGGUUAUCUUUGGCGCCCCCUAGAACCUAAACCGUGGAGUGCAGCGUCAUGAUUUGUACAACUUUUAAUGGCCAUGGGGUGUAGAUUGGCCUGAGCAAAUUUGGUGGCGGUGGAACUAAAGCCUUCGGAGGAGUUAGCAAAAUUCCAAUGUGUGCGGAUCGGGAAAAAAUGCGAAAUAACCCUUUAACCGUACAUUUUACAGAUACGCCCGCACUGACUUUUUUGUAGAUCUUAUUGAGAAACAUAUGUGUGUCAAUUUUUGUGUCAAUAUGACAAAGCGUACAGGCGUGACAGUCAAUAGUGUGAAUUUACACCUUAGGGGGCGCUAUGGAGCUAUUUUGCAUUUUAUUGUUUGGGCGACUUCAGAAUAUCGAAUUUUUCACCAGGCCCGGUCGUCCUGCCAAAUUUUAUGAGUUUUCGCCAGUGGGAAGUGGGCCAUUUUCCAGUUCAAAGGGGAGGAAAAAGAAGAAAGAAAGAAACAAAGAAAAACCACUACAGGAACAACAGGGCUCUACGCCCGGCUGCUCUGCAGCUGGCUCGGGCCCUAAAAAGAAACAAAGAAAAACCACUACAGGAAUAAUAGGGCCUCGCAGCUGCUUAGCAGCUACGCACGGGCCCUAACAAACUAGGGCCCCGGUGGGGCACUGGCGGGCCCGAGCCGUGUCGCGCCGCCCCCAGCGCGACCGCCUCCCCCUCCCGAUCGCGUCACACUCAAGGUCCAAAGAUGGUGUGCGCACUUGUCUGUGGUCAUUUACCAUUAUAAUGAAUGGGAGGCGCAGUUUCUACCAAAAUGCUCGCUGCAGACAAACUCCAUGUCCUUUUUGAAAAAAGUCUGGACCAUGAGUGAGGGCACAAACACAGCUUCCAUAUAUCCAAAUGGCAAGUUGCUCCUCCUUUCGGUUUUGCCGAGAGAGCGAUGCGUUUGAGCCAUUGGGCGAAGGGCAGGAAAAACUUAACUUUUUAUCCUGCCAUGGGGGGGCGCUCUUUUGGGGAGAAAAAAUUCUUUCACAAAUGUGUUGAUGGCUGGACAUUGCAUCAUCCUAGAAAACUUGGAGGCCAGUGAGGACAAAAAUAAAAAGUUAUAAGACUUUUAAAUAUGUGGAUUUUAGGGUUAUCUUUGGCGCCCCCUAGAACCUAAACCGUGGGGUGCAGCGUCAUGAUUUGAAUAACUUUUAAUGGCCAUGGGGUGUAGAUUGGCCUGAGCAAAUGUGGUGCCAGUGGAACGAAAGCCUUAGGAGGAGUUAGCCACAUUCCAAUGUGUGCGGAUCGGCAAAAAAUGUGGAAUAACCCUUUAACCGUACAUUUGACAGAUACGCGCGCAUUGACUUUUUCGUAGAUCUAAUUGAGAUACACAUGAUUGUCAAUUUUUGUGUCAUUUUGCCAAAGCGUACAGGCGUGACAGUCAACAAUGUGUAUUUUCACCUUAGGGGACAAGAAAAAAUGGACUUUUUUCUCCUGCCAUGGGGGGGCGCUCUUUUGGGGAGUAAAAAUUCCUUCACAAAUGUGUUGAUGGCUGGACAUUGCAUCAUCCUAGAAAACUUGGAGGCCAAUGAGGACAAAAAUAAAAAGUUAUAAGAUUUUUAAGAAUGUGGAUUUGUGGGUUAUCUUUGGCGCCCCCUAGAACGUAAACCAUGGGGUGCAGCGUCAUGAUUUGUACAACUUUCAAUGGCCAUGGGGUGUAGAUUGGCCUGAGCAAAUGUAGUGCUGGUGGAACAAAAGCCUUCGGAGGAGUUAGCGAAAUUCCAAUGUGUGCGGAACGGCAAAAAAUGCGAAAUAACCCUUUAACCGUACAUUUGACAGAUACGCCCGCACUGACUUUUUUGUAGAUCUUAUUGAGAUACAUGUGUGUGUCAAUUUUUGUGUCAAUAUGACAAAGCGUACAGGCGUGACAGUCAAUAGUGUGAAUUUUCACCUUUGGGGGCGCUAUUGAGCCAUUUUGCAUUUUAUUGUUUGGGAGACUUCAGAAUAUCGAAUUUUUCACCAGGCCCGGUCGUCCUGCCAAUUUUCAUGAGUUUUCGCCAGUGGGAAGUGGGCCAUUUUCCAGUUUAAAGCGGAGGAAAAAUAAUAACUAGGGCCCCGGUGGGGCACUGUCGGGCCCGAGCCGCGUCGCGCCGCCCCCAGCGCGACCGCCUCCCCCUCCCGAUCGCAUCACACUCAAGGUCCAAAGAUGGUGUGCGCACUUGUCUGUGGUCAUUUCCCAUUAUAAUGAAUGGGAGGCGCAGUUUCUACCAAAACGGUCGCUGCAGACAAACUACAUGUCCUAUUUGAAAAAAGUCUGGACCAUGAGUGAGGGCACAAACACAGCUAGGAUAUAUCCAAAUGGCAAGUUGCUCCUCCUUACGGUGUUGCCAGGAGAGCGAUGCGAUUGAGCCAUUGAGCGAUGGGCAGGGUUAACUGGACUUUUUCUCCUGCCUUGGGGGGGGGGGGAUGUGGAUUCUUUUAAGAAUGUGGAUAUUUGGGUCAUCUUUGGCGCCCCCUAGAACGUAAACCAUGGGGUGCAGCGGCAUGAUUUUUACAACUUUGAAUGGCCAUGGGAUGUAGAUCGGCUUGAGCAAAUUUGGUGUCGGUGGGAAGAAAGCCUUAGGAGGAGUUAGCCACAUUCCAAUGUGUGCGAAUCUGCAAAAAAUGCGAAAUAGCCCUUUAACCGUACAUUUUACAGAUACGUGCCCAUUGACUUUUUCGUAGAUCUUAUGGAGAUACACGUGUGUGUCAAAUUUUGUGUCAUUUUGACAAAGCGUAUAGGCGUGACAGUCAAAAAUGUGUUUUUUCACCUUAGGGGACAAGAAAAAAUGGACUUUUUUCUCCUGCCAUGGGGGGGCGUUCUUUUCGGGAGUAAAAAUUCCUUUACAAAUGUGUUGAUGGCUGUACAUUGCAUCAUCCUAGAAAACUUGGAGGCCAGUGAGGACAAAAAUAAAAAGUUAUAAGACUAUUAAGAAUGUGGAUUUUUGGGUUAUCUUUGGCGCCCCCUAGAACCUAAACCGUGGAGUGCAGCGUCAUGAUUUGUACAACUUUUAAUGGCCAUGGGGUGUAGAUUGGCCUGAGCAAAUUUGGUGGCGGUGGAACUAAAGCCUUCGGAGGAGUUAGCAAAAUUCCAAUGUGUGCGGAUCGGGAAAAAAUGCGAAAUAACCCUUUAACCGUACAUUUUACAGAUACGCCCGCACUGACUUUUUUGUAGAUCUUAUUGAGAAACAUAUGUGUGUCAAUUUUUGUGUCAAUAUGACAAAGCGUACAGGCGUGACAGUCAAUAGUGUGAAUUUACACCUUAGGGGGCGCUAUGGAGCUAUUUUGCAUUUUAUUGUUUGGGCGACUUCAGAAUAUCGAAUUUUUCACCAGGCCCGGUCGUCCUGCCAAAUUUUAUGAGUUUUCGCCAGUGGGAAGUGGGCCAUUUUCCAGUUCAAAGGGGAGGAAAAAGAAGAAAGAAAGAAACAAAGAAAAACCACUACAGGAACAACAGGGCUCUACGCCCGGCUGCUCUGCAGCUGGCUCGGGCCCUAAAAAGAAACAAAGAAAAACCACUACAGGAAUAAUAGGGCCUCGCAGCUGCUUAGCAGCUACGCACGGGCCCUAACAAACUAGGGCCCCGGUGGGGCACUGGCGGGCCCGAGCCGUGUCGCGCCGCCCCCAGCGCGACCGCCUCCCCCUCCCGAUCGCGUCACACUCAAGGUCCAAAGAUGGUGUGCGCACUUGUCUGUGGUCAUUUACCAUUAUAAUGAAUGGGAGGCGCAGUUUCUACCAAAAUGCUCGCUGCAGACAAACUCCAUGUCCUUUUUGAAAAAAGUCUGGACCAUGAGUGAGGGCACAAACACAGCUUCCAUAUAUCCAAAUGGCAAGUUGCUCCUCCUUUCGGUUUUGCCGAGAGAGCGAUGCGUUUGAGCCAUUGGGCGAAGGGCAGGAAAAACUUAACUUUUUAUCCUGCCAUGGGGGGGGCGCUCUUUUGGGGAGAAAAAAUUCUUUCACAAAUGUGUUGAUGGCUGGACAUUGCAUCAUCCUAGAAAACUUGGAGGCCAGUGAGGACAAAAAUAAAAAGUUAUAAGACUUUUAAAUAUGUGGAUUUUAGGGUUAUCUUUGGCGCCCCCUAGAACCUAAACCGUGGGGUGCAGCGUCAUGAUUUGAAUAACUUUUAAUGGCCAUGGGGUGUAGAUUGGCCUGAGCAAAUGUGGUGCCAGUGGAACGAAAGCCUUAGGAGGAGUUAGCCACAUUCCAAUGUGUGCGGAUCGGCAAAAAAUGUGGAAUAACCCUUUAACCGUACAUUUGACAGAUACGCGCGCAUUGACUUUUUCGUAGAUCUAAUUGAGAUACACAUGAUUGUCAAUUUUUGUGUCAUUUUGCCAAAGCGUACAGGCGUGACAGUCAACAAUGUGUAUUUUCACCUUAGGGGACAAGAAAAAAUGGACUUUUUUCUCCUGCCAUGGGGGGGCGCUCUUUUGGGGAGUAAAAAUUCCUUCACAAAUGUGUUGAUGAAUGGACAUUGCAUCAUCCUAGAAAACUUGGAGGCCAGUGAGGACAAAAAUAAAAAGUUAUAAGACUUUUAAAAAUGUGGAUUUUUGGGUUAUCUUUGGCGCCCCCUAGAACGUAAACCGUGGGGUGCAGCGUCAUGAUUUGAAUAACUUUUAAUGGCCAUGGGGUGUAGAUUGGCCUGAGCAAAUGUGGUGCCGGUGGAACGAAAGCCUUCGGAGGAGUUAGCGAAAUUCCAAUGUGUGCGGAUCGGCAAAAAAUGCGAAAUAACCCUUUAACCGUACAUUAGACAGAUACGCGCGCAUGGACUUUUUUGUAGAUCUUAUUGAGAUACAUGUGUGUGUCAAUUUUUGUGUCAUUUUGACAAAGCGUACAGGCGUGACAGUCAAUAGUGUGAAUUUUCACCUUAGGGGACAAGAAAAAAUGGACUUUUUUCUCCUGCCAUGGGGGGGCGCUCUUUUGGGGAGUAAAAAUUCCUUCACAAAUGUGUUGAUGGCUGGACAUUGCAUCAUCCUAGAAAACUUGGAGGCCAGUGAGGGCAAAAAUAAAAAGUUAUAAGACUUUUAAAUAUGUGGAUUUUAGGGUUAUCUUUGGCGCCCCCUAGAACCUAAACCGUGGGGUGCAGCGUCAUGAUUUGAAUAACUUUUAAUGGCCAUGGGGUGUAGAUUGGCCUGAGCAAAUGUGGUGCCGGUGGAACGAAAGCCUUCGGAGGAGUUAGCGAAAUUCCAAUGUGUGCGGAUCGGCAAAAAAUGCGAAAUAACCCUGUAACCGUACAUUUGACAGAUACGCCCGCACUGACUUUUUUGUAGAUCUUAUUGAGAUACAUGUGUGUGUCAAUUUUUGUGUCAUUUUGACAAAGCGUACAGGCGUGACAGUCAAUAGUGUGAAUUUUCACCUUAGGGGGCGCUAUGGAGCCAUUUUGCAUUUUCUUGUUUGGGCGACUUCGGAAUAUCAAAUUUUUUACCAGGCCCGGUCGUCCUGCCAAAUUUCAUGAGUUUUCGCCAGUGGGAAGUGGGCCAUUUUCCAGUUCAAAGGGGAGGAAAAAGAAAAAAGAAAGAAAGAAACAAAGAACUAGGGCCCCGGUGGGGCACUGUCGGGCCCGAGCCGCGUCGUGCCGCCCCCAGCGUGACCGCCUCCCCCUCCCGAUCGCGUCACACUCAAGGUCCAAAGAUGGUGUGCGCACUUGUCUGUGGUCAUUUCCCAUUAUAAUGAAUGGGAGGCGCAGUUUCUACCAAAACACUCACUGCAGACAAACUUCAUGUCCUAUUUGAAAAAAGUCUGGACCAUGAGUGAGGGCACAAACACAGCUGGGAUAUAUCCAAAUGGCAGGUUGCUCCUCGUUACGGUGUUGCCUGGAGAGUGAUGCGAUUGAGCCAUUGAGCGAUGGGCAGGAAAAACUUGACUUUUUCUCCUGCCAUGGGGGGGGGGGAAUGUGGAUUCUUUUAAGAGUGUGGAUCUUUUGGUCAUCUUUGGCGCCCCCUAGAACGUAAACCGUGGGGUGCAGCGUCAUGAUUUUUACAACUUUGAAUGGCCAUGGGGUGUAGAUUGGCCUGAGCAAAUUGGGUUUCAGUGGGACGAAAGCCUUAGGAGGAGUUAGCCACAUUCCAAUGUGUGCGAAUCGGCAAAAAAUGCAAAAUAGCCCUCUAACCGUACAUUUGACAGAUACGCACCCAUUGACUUUUGCGUAGAUCUUAUUGAGAUACACGUGAUUGUCAAAUUUUGUGUCAAUAUGACAAAGCGUACAGGUGUCACACUCAACAAUGUGAAUUUUCACCUUACGGGACAAGAAAAAAUGGACUUUUUUCUCCUGCCAUGGGGGGGCGCUCUUUUGGGGAGUAAAAAUUCCUGAUGGCUGGACAUUGCAUCAUCCUAGAAAACUUGGAGGCCAGUGAGGACAAAAAUAAAAAGUUAUAAGACUUUGAAAUAUGUGGAUUUUAGGGUUAUCUUUGGCGCCCCCUAGAACCUAAACCGUGGGGUGCAGCGUCAUGAUUUGAAUAACUUUUAAUGGCCAUGGGGUGUAGAUUGGCCUGAGCAAAUGUGGUGCCGGUGGAACGCCAGCCUUAGGAGGAGUUAGCGAAAUUCCAAUGUGUGCGGAUCAGCAAAAAAUGCGGAAUUACCCUUUAACCGUACAUUUGACAGAUACACGCGCAUUGACUUUUUCGUAGACCUUAUUGAGAUACAUGUGUGUGUCAAAUUUUGUGUCAAUAUGACAAAGCGUACAGGCGUGACACUCAACAAUGUGUAUUUUCACCUUAGGGGACAAGAAAAAAUGGACUUUUUUCUCCGGCCAUGGGGGGGCGCUCUUUUGGGGAGUAAAAAUUCCUUCACAAAUGUGUUGAUGGCUGGACAUUGCAUCAUCCUAGAAAACUUGGAGGCCAGUGAGGGCAAAAAUAAAAAGUUAUAAGACUUUUAAAUAUGUGGAUUUUAGGGUUAUCUUUGGCGCCCCCUAGAACCUAAACCGUGGGGUGCAGCGUCAUGAUUUGAAUAACUUUUAAUGGCCAUGGGGUGUAGAUUGGCCUGAGCAAAUGUGGUGCCGGUGGAAAGAAAGCCUUCGGAGGAGUUAGCGAAAUUCCAAUGUGUGCGGAUCGGCAAAAAAUGCGGAAUAACCCUUUAACCGUACAUUUGACAGAUACGCCCGCACUGACUUUUUUGUAGAUCUUAUUGAGAUACACAUGUGUGUCAAUUUUUGUGUCAUUUUGACAAAGCGUAAAGGCGUGACAGUCAAUAGUGUGAAUUUUCACCUUAGGGGGCGCUAUGGAGCCAUUUUGCAUUUUCUUGUUUGGGCGACUUCGGAAUAUCAAAUUUUUCACCAGGCCCGGUCAUCCUGCCAAAUUUCAUGAGUUUUCACCAGUGGGAAGUGGGCCAUUUUCCAGUUCAAAGGGGAGGAAAAAGAAGAAACUAGGGCCCCGUUGGGGCACUGGCGGGCCCGAGCUGUGUCGCGCCCCCCCCCAACGCGCUGCCUCCCCGUCCCAUUCGCGUCCUCUGGCCAUCGUCCUCUCUGGUGACGCCCAUCACUGCAAAGACCCUUUUCCUUCAUCGGGGUUUGCUGUUCUUCCUGCCAGUGCGUGUUGCUUUCACUUACACUUGCCACAGCCAGCCUCGUGAGUGCCUAGCCUAUUGGAUAUCACUGUCACCUACACAGGACAGUCAUUACCUUUCUAUUAAUACUUUGUUUUUUAAUUUCACAUUAAUUUCCAUAUUGUAUAAACGACUGGAAAAAAACUUGAGCCCCUGCCCCUGUAUAAUCAUGUGCACGUCCCUGUUCUUGCUCCAAGGUGAAUCUUCACUGCUCAUGUUCUCCUCAGAAGCAUUCACCUCACUCCCCUCAGGUUACUGUACACAUGCACCAACUGCCUGCUUCAGGUUUGGAUGGAGCUUCAUGGUUGUCUUUUGGAGAAAUGAACAGUCAAGUUGUGUUUGAAAUUUGAUUUUUUUCAGGGGCAAAAGGAAGCCUCUGCAUUCUUGUCAAAUAUGUAAACAGCAUGUUUUUGCAGGUGCUAAAAAACAGACUCUGAGUGUGUGUGUGUGUGUGUGUGUGUGUGUAUCCUGCAGUACUCUGUACUCCUGCAGUGACCAAAAAGACUUUUAAGAAUGUGGAUUUUUGGGUCAUCUUUGGCGCCCCCUAGAACUGCAGUACUCUUUACUCCUGCAGUGGCCAAAAUGACUUUUAAGAAUGUGGAUUUUUGGGUCAUCUUUGGCGCCCCCUAGAACGUAAACCGUGGGGUGCAGCGGCAUGAUUUUUACAACUUUGAAUGGGCAUGGGGUGUAGAUUGCCCUGAGCAAAUUUGGUAUCGGUGGGACGAAAGCCUUAGGAGGAGAUAGCCACAUUCCAAUGUGUGUGAAUCGGCAAAAAAUGCGAAAUAGCCCUUUAACCGUACAUUUGACAGAUACGUGCCUAUUGACUUUUUUGUAGAUCUUAUUGAGAUACACGUGAUUGUCAAAUUGUGUGUCAAUAUGACAAAGUGUAUAGGCGUGACACUCAACAAUGUGUAUUUUUACCUUAGGAGACAAGAAAAAAUUGACUUUUUUCUCCUGCCAUGGGGGGGCGCUCUUUUGGGGAGUAAAGAUUCCUUCACAAAUGUGUUGAUGGCUGGACAUUGCAUCAUCCUAGAAACCUUGGAGGCCAGUGAGGACAAAAAUAAAAAGUUAUAAGACUUUUAAGAAUGUGGAUUUUUGGGUUAUCUUUGGCGCCGCCUAGAACCUAAACCGUGGGGUGCAGCGUCAUGAUUUGUACAACUUUUAAUGGCCAUGGGGUGUAGAUUGGCCUGAGCAAAUGUGGUGCCGGUGGAACGAAAGCCUUCGGAGGAGUUAGCGAAAUUCCAAUGUGUGCGGAUCGGCAAAAAAAGCGAAAUAGCCCUUUAACCAUACAUUUGACAGAUACGCCCGCACUGACUUUUUCGUAGAUCUUAUUGAGAUACACAUGUGUGUCAAAUUUUGUGUCAUUUUGACAAAGCGUACAGGCAUCAGGUGAGUUUUCACCAUAGGGGGCGCUAUGGAGCCAUUUUUCAUUUUUUUGUUUGGACGACUUCAGAAUAUCAAAUUUUUCACCAGGCCCAGUCGUCCUGCCAAAUUUCCUGAGUUUUCGCCAGUGGGAAGUGGGCCAUUUUCCAGUUUAAAGCGGAGGAAAAAUAACGAAAGAAGAAUCCAUCAGGAACAAGAGGGCUCUCGCAGCUGCUUAGCAGCUACGCUCGGGCCCUAAAAAACCACUUGGGGAAUAAUAGGGCCUACGCCCGGCUGCUCUGCAGCUGGCUCGGGCCCUAAUAAUAACACUAGGGCCCCGUUGGGGCACUGGCGGGCCCGAGCCGUGUCGCGCCGCCCCCAGCGCGACCGCCUACCCCUCCCGAUCGCGUCACACUCAAGGUCCAAAGAUGGUGUGGGCACUUGUCUGUAGUCAUUUACCAUUAUAAUGAAUGGGAGGCGCAGUUUCUACCAAAACGCUCGCUGCAGACAAACUCCAUGUCCUUUUUGAAAAAAGUCUGGACCAUGAGUGAGGGCACAAACACAGCUAGUAUAUAUCCAAAUGGCAAGUUGCUCCUCCUUUCCGUUUUGCCGAGAGAGCGAUGCGUUUGAGCCAUUGAGCGAUGGGCAGGAAAAACUUGACUUUUUCUCCUGCCAUGGGGGGGCGCUCUUUUGGGGAGAAAAAAUUCCUUCACAAAUGUGUUGAUGGCUGGACAUUGCAUUCCUAGAAAACUUGGAGGCCAGUGAGGACAAAAAUAAAAAGUUAUAAGACUUUUAAAAAUGUGGAUAUUUGGGUCCUCUUUGGCGCCCCCUAGAACGUAAACCGUGGGGUGCAGCGUCAUGAUUUGUACAACUUUAAAUGGCCAUGGGGUGUAGAUUGACCUGAGCAAAUUUGAAGCCGAUGGGACAAAAGCUUUAGGAGGAGUUAGCCACAUUCCAAUGUGUGCGAAUCGGCAAAAAAUGCGAAAUAGCCCUUUAAUCGUACAUUGAACAGAUACGCUCGCAUUGACUUUUUCGUAGAUCGUAUUGAGAUACAUGUGUGUGUCAAUUUUUGUGUCAUUUUGACAAAGCGUAAAGGCGUGACAGUCAACAAUGUGUAUUUUCGCCUUAGGAGACAAGAAAAAAUGGACUUUUUUCUCCUGCCAUUGGGGGGCGCUCUUUUGGGGAGUAAAAAUUCCUUCACAAAUGUGUUGAUGGCUGGACAUUGCAUCAUCCUAGAGAACUUGGAGGCCAGUGAGGACAAAAAUAAAAAGUUAUAAGACUUUUAAGACUGUGGAUUUUUGGGUUAUCUUUGGCGCCCCCUAGAACGUAAACCGUGGGGUGCAGCGUCAUGAUUUGUACAACUUUUAAUGGCCAUGGGGUGUAGAUUGGCCUGAGCAAAUGUGGUGCCGUUGGAACGAAAGCCUUCGGAGGAGUUAGCGAAAUUCCAAUGUGUGCGGAUCGGCAAAAAAUGCGAAAUAACCCUUUAACCGUACAUUUGACAGAUACGCCCGCACUGACUUUUUUGUAGAUCUUAUUGAGAUACAUGUGUGUGUCAAUUUUUGUGUCAAUAUGACAAAGCGUAAAGGCGUGACAGUCAAUAGUGUGAAUUUUCACCUUAGGGGGCGCUAUGGAGCCAUUUUGCAUUUUAUUGUUUGGGCGACUUCAGAAUAUCGAAUUUUUCACCAGGCCCGGUCGUCCUGCCAAAUUUCAUGAGUUUUCGCCAGUGGGAAGUGGGCCAUUUUCCAGUUUAAAGCGGAGGAAAAAUAAUAAUAAUAACUAGGACCCCGUUGGGGCACUGGCGGGCCCGAGCCGUGUCGCGUCCCCCCCCCCCCCCCCAACGUGCUGCCUCCCCGUCCCAUUUGUGUCCUCUGGCCAUCGCCCUCUCUGGUAACGCCCAUCACUGCAAAGACCCUUUUCCUUCAUCGGCGUUUGCUGUUCUUCCUGCCAGUGCGUGUUGCUUUCACUUACACUUGCCACAGCCAGCCUCGUGAGUGCCUAGCCUAUUGGAUAUCACUGUCACCUACACAGGACAGUCAUUACCUUUCUAUUAAUACUUUGUGUUUUAAUUUCACAUUAAUUUCCAUAUUGUAUAAACGACUGGAAAAAACUUGAGCCCCUGCCCCUGUAUAAUCAUGUGCAUGUCUCUGUUCUAGCUCCAAGGUGAAUCUUCACUGCUCAUGUUCUCCUCAGAAGCACUCACCUCACUCCCCUCAGGUUACUGUACACAUGCACCAACUGCCUGCUUCAGGUUUGGAUGGAGCUUCAUGGUUGUCUUUUGGAGAAAUGACCAGUCAAGUUGUGUUUGAAAUUUGAUUUUUUUCAGGGGCAAAAGGAGCCUCUGCAUUCUUGUCAAAUAUGUAAAUAGCAUGUUUUUGCAGGUGCUAAAAACCAGACUCUGAGUGUGUGUGUGUGUGUGUGUGUGUGUGUGUGUGUGUGUGUGUGUGUGUGUGUGUGCGUUCAAGUCACAUGACAUAUUUAACCGGAUGUAGCUGCAAGACGGAGCCUCGUUGACUCUCCGUUUCAACUUAUCUCAAAAGUGAGGACCUCAACCUAUAUACCAGUUUUUAAAUUGUGUUGAUAGGCCAAAUAAAACCAGAGUUAUGAUAAAUUAUGUCCGCGAUAUUUUUUUCUGCUUAUUUUGAUCACGUUCGGCGCUCGAUCGCGCUGUAUGAGACAGGAAAACAUAGCAUGCAGACAUUAGCGACAGUUCUUACAGGCGGAAAAGGCUUGCCAAAAAAAAAAAAAACACACCACAACAUCUCUCCUAUUGGUGGAAAACUUCACCACAACAACCAAUCCAAAAUUAUAUGGUGACUGAUUGACAAGGGGGGGCGCUUACGUUCUUCCUGCAACAUGAGAAGGGAGGGAGGGACUCUCAGCAGGGAUGCAGUCUGGGACACGUAGUUGCAAACCUAGCGACUUUGUUGUUAGAUUCAAUGACUUUUCAGACCCCCUAACGACUUUUUUUUAGAAAGAAAGGGACUUUUAUCGACUUCUUCUGGAGUUUAGAGACUCUGACAUGAAGCAGGCUUUCCAUACUGAGGAGUUAGCAACGCUGCUAAGGGUGCAGAGCCACACAUGCGCUCAGAGCUCUGCAUGGGAGACUGAAGCUGACAGAGCUGCAGCAGUUAGCAGGUUUCACCCUCAGAGACCACCACGGGUUCAUGUUGAGGCAUUAAAAAUUUUUUUUUUUUUUUGUGCCAUAGACACUGUCAGCACAAUCUGCAGUUACACUAACAAAAAUGCUGCAAAAAACAAAGAAUUAUGGAAAAAUUACACAUGGACUGACAUAGAGGAGGAUCUACACAAGUUUUUUACAUCAUGUUUUACAUCAUGCAUCAUUUACAUCAUGUUUUUUUGUAGUGGCAUAAAUAAAAAGUGACAUUUGUGAGACUAUACAGUGUUUUGUAAAUAAUUUUACAAAGAACGCCUGGGCCAUUGCCUGCAUUUUGAUGUAAAUAGAGGUAAAUUACUAUGUUCUUUGUUAAAAAUUUGCAUAUGUUUUGAAGUUUACAAUUUUUAUUUGAAGUUUAAGUUUUAAAAACAGUUCAUCACACAUAUUUGUGGUUUAAUUUCACAUUAAUUUCCAUAUUGUAUAAAUGACUGGAAAAAACUUGAGCCCCUGCCCCUGUAUAAUCAUGUGCACGUCCCUGUUCUAGCUCCAAGGUGAAUCUUCACUGCUCAUGUUCUCCUCAGAAAUAGUCACCUCACUCCCCUCAGGUUACUGUACACAUGCACCAACUAUCUGCUUCAGGUUUGAAAUGGAGCUUCAUGGUUGUCUUUUGGAGAAAUGAACAGUCAAGUUGUGUUUGAAAUUUGAUUUUUUUCAGGGGCAAAAGGAAGCCUCUGCAUUCUUGUCAAAUAUGUAAACAGCAUGUUUUUGCAGGUGCUAAAAAACAGACUCUGGUGUGUGUGUGUGUGUGUGUGUGUGUGUGUGUGUGUGUGUGUGUGUGUGUGUAUGUUGGCGUGUGUGUAUAUGUGUGUGUAUCCUGCAGUACUCUGUACUCCUGCAGUGGCCAAAAAGACUUUUAAGAAUGUGGAUUUUUGGGUCAUCUUUGGCGCCCCCUAGAACUGCAGUACUCUGUACUCCUGCAGUGGCCAAAAUGACUUUUAAGAAUGUGGAUAUUUGGGUCAUCUUUGGCGCCCCCUAGAACGUAAACCGUGGGGUGCAGCGUCAUGAUUUUUACAACUUUGAAUGGGCAUGGGGUGUAGAUAGCCCUGAGCAAAUUUGGUAUCGGUGGGACGAAAGCCUUAGGAGGAGAUAGCCACAUUCCAAUGUGUGCGAAUCGGCAAAAAAUGCAAAAUAGCCCUUUAACCGUACAUUAUACAGAUACGCGCUCUUUGACUUUUUCGUAGAUCUAAUUGAGAUACACAUGAUUGUCAAAUUUUGUGUCAAUAUGACAAAGCGUUCAGGCGUGACACUCAACAAUGUGUCUUUUUAUGUAAGGGGACAAGAAAAAAUUGCCUUUUUUCUCCUACCAUGGGGGGGCGCUCUUUUGGGGAGUAAAAAUUCCUUCACAAAUGUGUUGAUGGCUGGACAUUGCAUCAUCCUAGAAAACUUGGAGGCCAGUGAGGACAGAAAUAAAAAGUUAUAAAACAUUUAAGAAUGUGGAUUUUUGGGUUAUCUUUGGCGCCCCCUAGAACCUAAACCAUGGGGUGCAGCAUCAUGAUUUGAAUAACUUUUAAUGGCCAUGGGGUGUAGAUUGGCCUGAGCAAAUGUGGUGCCGGUGGAACGAAAGCCUUCGGAGGAGUUAGCGAAAUUCCAAUGUGUGCGUAUCGGCAAAAAAUGCAGAAUAACCCUUUAACUGUACAUUUGACAGAUACGCGCGCACUGACUUUUUUGUAGAUCUUAUUGAGUUACAUGUGUGUGUCAAUUUUUGUGUCAUUUUGACAAAGCGUAUAGGCGUGACACUCAACAAUGUGUAUUUUCACCUUAGGGGACAAGAAAAAAUUGACUUUUUUCUCCUGCCAUGGGGGGGCGCUCUUUUGGGGAGUAAAAAUUCCUUCACAAAUGUGUUGAUGGCUGGACAUUGCAUCAUCCUAGAAAACUUGGAGGCCAGUGAGGACAAAAAUAAAAAGUUAUAAGACUUUUAAAAAUGUGGAUUUUAGGGUUAUCUUUGGCGCCCCCUAGAACCUAAACCGUGGGGUGCAGCGUCAUGAUUUGAAUAACUUUUAAUGGCCAUGGGGUGUAGAUUGGCCUGAGCAAAUGUGGUGCCGGUGGAACGAAAGCCUUCGGAGGAGUUAGCGAAAUUCCAAUGUGUGCGGAUCGGCAAAAAAUGCGAAAUAACCCUUUAACCGUACAUUUGACAGAUACGCCCGCACUGACUUUUUUGUAGAUCUUAUUGAGCUACAUGUGUGUGUCAAUUUUUGUGUCAUUUUGACAAAGCGUACACGCGUGACAGUCAAUAGUGUGAAUUUUCACCUUAGGGGGCGCUAUGGAGCCAUUUUGCAUUUUCUUGUUUGGGCGACUUCGGAAUAUCAAAUUUUUCACCAGGCCCGGUCGUCCUGCCAAAUUUCCUGAGUUUUCGCCAGUGGGAAGUGGGCCAUUUUCCAGUUCAAAGGGGAGGAAAAAGAAGAAAGAAAGAAAGAAAGAAACAAAGAAAAACCCCUUGGGGAAUAAUAGGGCCUACGCCCGGCUGCUCUGCAGCUGGCUCGGGCCCUAAUAAUAACAAAAGAAGAAUCCAUCAGGAACAAGAGGGCUCUCGCAGCUGCUUAGCAGCUACGCUCGGGCCCUAAGAAAGAAACAAAGAAAAACCACUUGGGGAAUAAUAGGGCUCUCGCAGCUGCUUAGCAGCUACGCUCGGGCCCUAAAAACCACUUGGGGAAUAAUAGGGCCUACGCCCGGCUGCUCUGCAGCUGGCUCGGGCCCUAAAGAAAGAAAGAAAUAAAGAAAGAAAGAAGAAAGAAAAACCUAUACAGGAAUAAUAGGGCUCUACGCCCGGCUGCUCUGCAGCUGGCUCGGGCCCUAAUAAGACUUUUAAAAAUGUGGAUAUUUGGGUCAUCUUUGGCGCCCCCUAGAACCUAAACCGUGGGGUGCAGCGUCAUGAUUUGUACAACUUUGAAUGGCCAUGGGGUGUAGAUUGGCCUGAGCAAAUUUGGUGUCAGUAGAACGAAAGCCUUAGGAGGAGUUAGCCACAUUCCAAUGUGUGCGAAUCGGCAAAAAAUGCAAGAUAGCCCUUUAACCGUACAUUUUACAGAUAUGUGCCCAUUGACUUUUUCGUAGAUCUUAUUGAGAUACACGUGUGUGUCAAAUUUUGUGUCAUUUUGACAAAGCGUAUAGGCGUGACACUGAACAAUGUGUUUUUUCACCUUAGGGGACAAGAAAAAAUGGCCUUUUUUGUCCUGCCAUGGGGGGGGGCGCUGUUUUGGGGAGUAAAAAUUCCUUCACAAAUGUGUUGAUGGCUGGACAUUGCAUCAUCCUAGAAAACUUGGAGGCCAAUGAGGACAAAAAUAAAAAGUUAUAAGACUUUUAAAAAUGUGGAUAUUUAGGUCAUCUUUGGCGCCCCCUAGAACCUAAAUCGUGGGGUGCAGCGUCAUGAUUUGUACAACUUUGAAUGGCCAUGGGGUGUAGAUUGGCCUGAGCAAAUUUGGUGUCAGUAGAACGAAAGCCUUAGGAGGAGUUAGCCACAUUCAAAUGUGUGCGAAUCGGCAAAAAAAACAAGAUAGCCCUUUAACCGUACAUUUUACAGAUAUGUGCCCAUUGACUUUUUCGUAGAUCUUAUUGAGAUACACGUGUGUGUCAAAUUUUGUGUCAAUAUGACAAAGCGUAUAGGCGUGACACUGAACAAUGUGUAUUUUCACCUUAGGGGACAAGAAAAAAUGGCCUUUUUUGUCCUGCCAUGGGGGGGCGCUGUUUUGGGGAGUAAAAAUUCCUUCACAAAUGUGUUGAUGGCUGGACAUUGCAUCAUCCUAGAAAACUUGGAGGCCAAUGAGGACAAAAAUAAAAAGUUAUAAGAUUUUUAAGAAUGUGGAUUUGUGGGUUAUCUUUGGCGCCCCCUAGAACGUAAACCAUGGGGUGCAGCGUCAUGAUUUGUACAACUUUCAAUGGCCAUGGGGUGUAGAUUGGCCUGAGCAAAUGUAGUGCUGGUGGAACGAAAGCCUUCGGAGGAGUUAGCGAAAUUCCAAUGUGUGCGGAACGGCAAAAAAUGCGAAAUAACCCUUUAACCGUACAUUUGACAGAUACGCCCGCACUGACUUUUUUGUAGAUCUUAUUGAGAUACAUGUGUGUGUCAAUUUUUGUGUCAAUAUGACAAAGCGUACAGGCGUGACAGUCAAUAGUGUGAAUUUUCACCUUUGGGGGCGCUAUUGAGCCAUUUUGCAUUUUCUUGUUUGGGAGACUUCAGAAUAUCGAAUUUUUCACCAGGCCCGGUCGUCCUGCCAAAUUUCAUGAGUUUUCGCCAGUGGGAAGUGGGCCAUUUUCCAGUUUAAAGCGGAGGAAAAAUAAUAACUAGGGCCCCGGUGGGGCACUGUCGGGCCCGAGCCGCGUCGCGCCGCCCCCAGCGCGACCGCCUCCACCUCCCGAUCGCGUCACACUCUAGGUCCAAAGAUGGAGUGCGCACUUGUCUGUGGUCAUUUCCCAUUAUAAUGAAUGGGAGGCGCAGUUUCUACCAAAACACUCGCUGCAGACAAACUACAUGUCCUAUUUGAAAAAAGUCUGGACCAUGAGUGAGGGCACAAACACAGCUAGGAUAUAUCCAAAUGGCAAGUUGCUCCUCCUUUCGCUUUUGCCGAGAGAGCGAUGCGAUUGAGCCAUCGAGCGAUGGGCAAGAAAAACUUGACUUUUUCUCCUGCCAUGGGGGGAGGGGGGGGGAUGUGGAUUCUUUUAAGAAUGUGGAUAUUUGGGUCAUCUUUGGCACCCCCUAGAACGUAAACCGUGGGGUGCAGCGUCAUGAUUUUUACAACUUUGAAUGGCCAUGGGGUGUAGAUUGGCCUGAGCAAAUCUGGUGUCAGUGGGACGAAAGCCUUAGGAGGAGUUAGCCACAUUCCAAUGUGUGCGAAUCGGCAAAAAAUGCAAAAUAGCCCUUUAACCGUACAUUUUACAGAUAUUUGCGCAUGACUUUUUCAUAGAUCUUAUUGAGAUACACGUGAUUGUCAAAUUUUGUGUCAUUUUGACAAAGCGUACAGGCGUGACACUCA
Xyrichtys novacula (pearly razorfish) is the source of this 26718-nucleotide non-coding RNA. The record is from the annotation of a GenBank genome assembly. Lineage: Eukaryota; Metazoa; Chordata; Actinopteri; Labriformes; Labridae.